AAGUCGUAACAAGGUUUCCGUAGGUGAACCUGCGGAAGGAUCAUUAAUGAAAGUCUGGGUCCUCACGGACCCUCUCUCUUCUACACACUUGUGAACCUUACCCUCCCGGAAAGGCUCUCGGAGACGGGCCUCUUUUUGGCCUGUGGACGCUUGCCUGGAAGGGAAUCUUUCCAAACUCAUUCUUAUAUGUCUGAUUCUUGUUUAAUAACAAAACUAUACAAAA
Molecule: unclassified non-coding RNA, 223 nt
Filed under: plant metagenome
Description: partial contains small subunit ribosomal RNA and internal transcribed spacer 1
Rfam family: Eukaryotic small subunit ribosomal RNA (bases 1-46)
Source: RNAcentral